Vigna unguiculata (cowpea) is the source of this 2355-nucleotide long non-coding RNA. RefSeq lists it as uncharacterized. NCBI's taxonomy places the organism in Eukaryota, Viridiplantae, Streptophyta, Magnoliopsida, Fabales, Fabaceae. The record is from RefSeq and is a predicted model, not a curated record.
UUCUUUUCCUUCCCUUUGCCAAAAAGACCUCAGUAGCUCUUUCUCCCACCCUCAUUUCAAAAGGGUUUAAUCUCCUAAACCGAAGUUAGAUUCUAAAAUACGCGAUCGAUUAGGUGUUCUUCCACAACUACGUUAUUCCUGAAUCCUAAUUUCAAUUUUACAAAAAUUUCUUCCCUCCAGCGUCGCGUUGAAGCGAGAGCGAGGACCAUCCUCUCUGUUUUCGAGGGUUUCUUCCAUCAUCACCGUCUGUGACGUUGUUAUAGAUGUCGCCGGCAGCGACAUAAGUUAUCGUCUUGUUCCAUCAUCCUUCAAAAUCUCGUGUAAGGCUUCUCUUCUUCUUCCACUUCAAACCUGUGUCUCUAAUCUUAGACCAACCAUGAGAGACCAAACCUCAGCUUCAGUGUGUGAAGAUUUCACUCCGAGUCUCGAUCAAACAUUGUCAUUGUGAAUCUGAUUCUUAGUACAUACUUUAUUUCAUUUUUUCUUUUUGAAAUUUUGUGUUUGUUCCCCUAAUUUAUGAACUUCUCAAUGCUUCACGUUCUUGUCAUUGAUGACAACCUCGUUGAGAGCAAGGUCAUUGAACAAUUGCUCAAGAUUUCUUCUGCAAAUGUUGUCGUUGAUGGCAACCUCGUUUAUAGUAUUUUGGCUUGGAUGAAGAGACCAGUUCUCUUGGGUGGGAUGUAUAAUAUGAUAGAACAAGGGCACGUUUGGACAAAGUUUUCUUUCUUUGACUAAGUCAAGAUCAACAGCAGAAAUGAGGGGUGAGAUUGUCUUUGGUGGUCUUGCUUGGUCCAAAAGAGGGUGAUGAUUAGUGAUUCGUUGAACCACAACUCAAUUGUUAAUGGUGCACGAGGAUCAAUAGCAACUAUUUGUGUUUUUCAACACAAUGGCCUAUAGAAAUUGCCACCAUUGCUUGAGGAUCGCCAUUGGAUUUUUCUUCUGUUAAUUUUUGGCAGAUAAUCAAGUAGAACCGCCUUCAAGUUCAAUUUUGUAUCCUCUCUCAUAUUGGACAUACAGGGACAACUCUAGUUAUAUUCCAGGUAACAUGUUUUAGAUGUUUAAGGAUAUUUAUGUGGAUGUGAACAACACAACCUUUGAGGUAUACCUUUGUCAUUAUUUAUCCUUAGCCUUGAAUAUGCAUGUUCAUAGUUUCAAAUGAGGAACUUGGAAAGAUAAAUUACUUCCUUCUAAACAUGUUGAACACCUGUUAUAAAAGCCACUGAAAUCUUAAUAUUAUAAUUAUGAGAUUCACUGUCAUUAUUAAAGUGCUUUGGUAUUUAUAGGAAUCAGUGAUAACUUUUCUAAAUUUUCAUUAUAGUCAACAUAUAAAUUUUAAAUAUUUUUCAGGAGAUAUUAUUGGAGGCCAAUAUUUAAGUUCUUUUUUCUUCAUUUUCAUAUCACAUACUCUAUAAAUGAUGCCUUAUGGAAUUAUUCUAACCUGCUGCAACUACUUUUUUUUAAGCCAAAAUGGUUAAUUUACUAUUAUAUAAUCUAUGUGCAUAUUAAUAAUUUUUUCUAUAAAGACAAAAAUAAAGACAAGAGGCAUAUCUAUUUUAGAAUAAAUAAAUAAUUUGGAUUUUAAAUAGGUGAAUAAUUGUUGAAUUUUGAGAGAAUCAACCUCACAUUUAGUUUUAUAGUAAGUAAAAUGAUUGAUAAGUUUAUUCGUUAUUAAGUGUAUUGUGGCAUAAAUUUUACUAAUUACAAUUUUUUAAAACUAUUUGAAUGGAAAAACACUAAUACUUUUAAUUUUAUAAAAAAACCAAGUUUCUUGUUUUGCUUUCCCCUUUAAUCACUUAAUGAUAUUUUUGAUGAUUUUGUUUUUCUCUCCGUCAUGAAUGUAUUGGCUCAGAUAUUCAGGAUAAAGAAAUUCUAACUUUUGUCACAAUGCUAAUGGACUUCACCAAUGAUUGAUUUGCUUUCUCGAUUCAGUCAUUUGUCUAUCGUAAUUCACAUCAUAGUUAUAUUUUUCUUGACAAUUUCUAAAUUUCUAUGUUUAUAUUAGUUUUUAAACUUCUCUUGAUUGAGGUCUUACACUUAUGUUGUGGUUGAUUCGUGCCUUUUUGCAAUAUCAGGGAAUAAGUAAAACUGAAAUCAUGUCUCUUGAUUUCUCCAUUUCUGAGAAUGAAGGAACAGUAGAAUGUUAUGAAAACACUUUCAUGGAGAUGAAAAAUCUUAAAAUACUACUUAAUAGAAAUGUUAAAUUUCUUGAUUCUCACCUCUGAUGUAUAUACGCAAUGCCAUAGCUGUGAAUGAAUUUCUUGGUCAUAGUUGGAGAAAGGUAAUACACUUUGUUUGCAAUGGUUAAUAUAUUUUGUUACUUGGAUCCUUUUAUAUAACCACAAACAUAAUUUGUUU